Long non-coding RNA from Canis lupus familiaris (dog), 2098 nucleotides. RefSeq lists it as uncharacterized. NCBI's taxonomy places the organism in Eukaryota, Metazoa, Chordata, Mammalia, Carnivora, Canidae. The record is from RefSeq and is a predicted model, not a curated record. The transcript has 3 exons.
GAUCUUUGGUAGACUUAAGGAGUAACUUUUUUUUCCAGACAUGUGCCUUGUUUGCCCCUGUUCUUCCUUCCUUUACUCAUCCUGCUGUAGAAUGAGGACACCACCAUCUUGAGUGAGGAGGAUGAACAAACACCACACUCUAGGGAUGACAGAGUGGCCGGAUGAACAGAGUCCAGAUCUCUGAAGACUUUGUAAAACAGAGCACAAAGUCAUCCUUGGACAGCACACCUCUGGAAUUUUACUGAACAUCUGUUGUAACCUGUGGGAAGCUUUAUGAAUGAAUAUAUCUUCAAGCAAAAUAGCAAAAGUUUAAAUUUUCUUUCUUUCUUUUCAUUUGCUUCCUAUGAAAGGAUUAUUAUCUUUUCAAAAGUCACUAAAAUGAUCUAUGGCUUGCCAACAAACAAAAGUCCAGGACCAGAUGGCUCCACAGAGUGAACAAGCUUGAAUACAAAAUAGCUCUCAUGAGGGAUCAGCCAGUCUGGCUUCAGCCUGCAUGGGCCAGAAUGAAAAAGUCCCAGAAGUCGUGUGACCUAAAGUGAUAAGCAGAGUAUAACAUGUUGUUAAAGUUAUUGUAGGAUCUUCUUAUUUAUCCCAUGUGCCCUGGCUACUGUCAAUUACACACAAACACAUACAUACACACACACACACACACACAUAGGCACACAUGAACAUACAGAUACACAAGUGAAAUGCACAUUCCCACUUGUUCUUCCAUUAGGAAUGUGGAAACAGCAGCUGAAACCUUACUGGAAAUUUUAAAGAAAUUACUCAUUGAAAUGAGAGCUCUCUCUUCUUAACCAUGACAUUAACUAUACUUUCUUACAUGUGAAGAAAAAAAAUAAUGGAAGCAAAGUUAACAAAGGGUGGUGAUUGUUUUCCACUAUUACUGCGCCUUUACAUCUUUUAGUGGAUAUUCAAAGUAUAAGUUGGUCAGUUUUGAUGAACAAUUACAGGUGAAUAGAUUGAGACACAGUGACAUGAAGAGACAUAUUCAAAUAAAUGUAUCAAUACUGAAGCUAAGCAAAUUCUAUUCCAUUACAUAAUGCACCCUCAACUAAGCAAGAUUUUCAUUUCAAGGAAAUCGCCCCAUGCACAAUUUCUAACCAUCUAUAUUUUUAGUUCAACAUUUAUUUCAUGACUAUCAACAAACUGAAAAAUAUUUAGAUACAAAAAGAAAAACCACAUUUAAUGAACACGUAAAAUUUAUUUACUAUUUGUCUAAUUCUCAAAAUAGAACUGUAGGAUACCAUUUUAUAGAGAAGGAGACUGAUGCCCAGAAAGGUUUAACAAAGGUUUAAAUGUGAGCUCCUGGUUGCAAGCCAGGAAAUACCAAGAUGGUAUCCAAUCUUAAGAUCUAAUCCUAAAUAACUUAAGUCAUGUUCUCAAUGUGUCUACUCCUAUCACAGUGUCCUAUUCAGUAAUUAUCUGGAUAUAACAAGGUACCGAAGAAGUUUCACAGAUGUAGAAGAUAUGGUUGAUGAUUAUUUGGGGUAACAGAACACAGAAAUAAGCUGACAACAAAUAAUACAGGGCAAAAUAUUCUAAAAUCCUAUAGUUAAUAAGCGAUAUUUGCUGACCUGGUCAGUUGUCCGUCUUGCCAACUUUCUAUCUGGUCCAUGACACUGUUCUGUAGUCUUUGUCAAUACUGUGAUUAUUCCCUCACUCAGUUAAGCUCCCUCCUAAAAUGGGAGCCCGCCUAGGGCAAGGAGUAUGAUUCACUUCUACCAAAAUGACUAAAUCAAUGCCCGCACAUUCGAUCUGGCACGCUAUUGUUUGCUAAGUGGAUGGCUAUACCAGAUGCCUUAACCCAUGAGGCUACUCCUUUAUUUAAUUAAUCUUCCACGUGCCAGGCAUUAUGCUGGGCUUUGGGAAUACAGCCCCAAAUGAGACAGAUGCAAUUUCUAUCCUCAUGAAGCUUGCAGUCUAAGGGAAAGAUGCAUCCAAUCAACAAGCAGUGGAAGUACAGGACACCAAGUGCCUGUCAUGAAGCACCUAACCCAGAUACUGGGGAAUCUGUAAUUCAGACAGCCCAAUUCAUUACCCCCAGAUUUGUUUAAGGCACUUAGAGAGGAAGAGAAGUAAAAGCAAACUUCCCAAA